AGAGUUUGAUCAUGGCUCAGGACGAACGCUGGCGGCGUGCCUAAUGCAUGCAAGUCGAGCGGGCUACAGUCUUCGGAUUGUAGCUUAGCGGCGAACGGGUGAGUAACACGUAGGUAAUCUACCCUUCAGAGGAGGACAACCUCAGGAAACUGAGGCUAAACCUUCAUACGUUCACUGGUAGGGAUACUGGUGAAGAAAGAGUUACCGUUGAGGUGGCUGCUGAAGGAUGAGCCUGCGGCCCAUCAGGUAGUUGGUGAGGUAACGGCUCACCAAGCCGAAGACGGGUAACCGGUCUGAGAGGAUGUCCGGUCACACUGGGACUGAGACACGGCCCAGACUCCUACGGGAGGCAGCAGCAGGGAAUCUUGGGCAAUGGGCGAAAGCCUGACCCAGCGACGCCGCGUGGAGGAAGAAGUCCUUCGGGGCGUAAACUCCUGGACUGGGGGACGAGGAAGGACGGUACCCCAGUAGAAAGGGACGGCUAACUACGUGCCAGCAGCCGCGGUAAAACGUAGGUCCCGAGCGUUGUUCGGAUUCACUGGGUGUAAAGGGCGCGUAGGUGGUUGUCUGUGUCUCAUGUGAAAACUCAGGGCUCAACUCUGAGAUUGCGUGGGAAACUAGGCAGCUAGAGGACGGUAGAGGGGAGUGGAAUUCCCGGUGUAGCGGUAAAAUGCGUAGAUAUCGGGAGGAACACCGGUGGCGAAGGCGGCUCUCUGGG
This 718-nucleotide ribosomal RNA is filed under the name uncultured bacterium. RNAcentral describes it as "bacterial SSU rRNA". It matches the Rfam family "Bacterial small subunit ribosomal RNA", at positions 8 to 733 of the family's 1533-position model. The record is from RNAcentral.